Dendrobium catenatum is the source of this 2419-nucleotide long non-coding RNA. RefSeq lists it as uncharacterized. NCBI's taxonomy places the organism in Eukaryota, Viridiplantae, Streptophyta, Magnoliopsida, Asparagales, Orchidaceae. The record is from RefSeq and is a predicted model, not a curated record. The transcript has 2 exons.
GCUACUCCCCCUGUCAUAAGUGGGGAAGUUAGUAAACCGGUCAAGCAAGUUGCUUCAUCUAGGGAUGAUUAUAUCUCCAACAUUCCAUUCAAGUUCUCCACUGAGACUUUCCUCUUGCAUCUAAGGUUUUCUAGCCCAUAGAAAGAUAGAGUCUCUAUGACUUGAUUUUCUAGGGAACUUCAACGUUUGGGGCCAAUUACUAAUUAAUUAAGGAAGCGAAAGGAGGGUGGUAGAGAUGACUCUCGUUAAGGUGCUAAUUACAAGUAUGGGAAGUUUUAUCUAGAGAUCCUUCGUUCGGAGUUGAGGAGCAAAAUAAGAAUAAAUUCAAGCCUUGAGACCCUGCAUAAAUUGAGCAGAUGAUGAGUGUGGAUACUCCGAUAAUUUCCAAGGACUUUCUUCAGAAUUCAUCAUCCAAUCAUCAAAUAUGCUUAUUAUGGUGAGGAGGAGAGGCCACUGGUCUUCUCCCCACUCUGGUGGGUGUAGUGAUGGUAGGAAGGCUUCAAAGCAUGUCAACAAUUGGAAGGUGUUUGAAGGCAUGGAAAUGAAAGCUUUUUUGAUCAGGUUUUGCUGGAUGUUCAUGCAGUUGGAUUAGCUAAUAUUCUAGCUGGUGAUGCUUCCUCUGAGGAACAUUAGCAGCCGGUUAUUUCUUUGGAUGAUGACCACCUCCUUAGCUCUUUCUUGGGCUUUGUUCGUUCUAUUAUGGGUAUCAAACAAGUGAUGUACGGAUGUGGAUACUAUGAUCAUUUCCCAAGACUUUCGUCUAGAUUCAUUGUCUGAUCGUCAAAUCUGUUAACACAUCUCCGAUUGCAACCGGAAAGUGCAGGUUUGCAAUCUCGAAUCAAACAUAUUAUGUGUGGAUGCCAUACAUUAUAGUCUAUUAUCUGAAGGUUAGGCUUUGAAUGCAAUUUCUGGUUUGGAUUGUGUGCAUGGUUUGGGUGGCAGCUUGGUUGGAUUGUCUUGGUGCAAGUGUGACAAUGUUUCAACUUAAGAGCCUAACGUUACAGGGCAAUGCGCAUCAGCUAUUUGUGUUAAUGCUCUAAAGUAUUUUUCAUUCAAUUUGGGGGAUAUUGAUGUUGAAUUUUAACCUCAUUCUAGCAAAUAGAAUUCCCUAAGGUAGCCUAGAGUGUUUGGCAAUCAAAUUCCAGGUCUUUUUUCUUGGAGAAAACCCUCCUAUACCCCUUUUGAAAAGUUUGUCAAACAUGAGAUUCUUGAUAAGGAUGGUAUUUUCUUGACACAUAAUAUUGAUAAAGUUCAAGAAAAUAUUUUUAAAUUGGAAUGUGCUUUAGUUGGGAAACUUCUAGGCAAGUUAAUAUCCUUUGCUUGGCUUCAUGUUGAACUAUCGAGGUGAUGGUCAUAUGCUGGGGAGUUUUAAUUGAUCAUAUAAUUUUGAGGGGUGGUCCUUUGAUUGUUGCUGGUAGCAUUAUUGAACUAGACUAGUUGUCUCGUAUCUUCUCUCUCGAGGAUAUGUACAAGUUUUUCCCCGCUAAUUUGGGUAUGUUAUCCAUGGCUUCCUUUGAUGUAUUGGGAUCCUUCCAAUAUUUCUCGUUUGGAUGCUAUGAUUGGUGAACCUCCUUGGAUGAAUGAUCCUUCAUCCUCUUGGGGUUAGAGUUCUUAUAUUAGAGUCUGUGUCGACAUUGAUUUGGCAUAGAAGCUUCUCUCAAAAUUUUGGAUCAAGGGCCUAAUUGGCAGAUUUUUUUCAAAUAGUUGAGUAUGAGGACAGCUCUCAUUUAUAUUUCCAUUAUGGAAUUAUUGGCCUUAAAGUGGACUCUUCUCCUUUCAAGCCUUAGUUGCAGCCUGAUAUCCAUGUUGAUAGCAUUCCAUAAUCUUCAAUUUUCGAGUAGCAGAAUCAAGAUGUUCUUAUGGAUACUCAUCAGAUCGAUCCUCGAUCUCCUCAACCUUCAUCCUCUUCCUAUGAUGUGGAUAAAUUGGGGACUUGGAACAUCAUCACUAGAAAGUUAAAGCCUAAGAAGAAAACUAAUCUCCCCACCACCUCUACUUGAGGACAUGAAAUGAGGUGCCCCACUCCAAAACUAACUAUAUCUAUCUCUAAGCCUAUUAUCUUCAUUGCCCAUAAAUCUCAACACAAAUCUCAACACAGGAAUUUCUCCAAAAAUUGUCGAAAUCUCUCCAAGCAAAAGACUUAGCAUGUCUUAUCACCAUUUAAGGAAAAAAUUGCAGCAUCUUGGGCUUGUCACCACUGGCCCAAGGAACUCGAAAAAAGCAUAUAAUGAUAUCUUAAGCAAGGGUUUAGUCCCCGUAAAUCACCAAUAUUGAGUUCCUCUUUUGUGUAUUAUACUGUUGUCGCAAUCAAAUGAGAUCACUACAAGCCUCUUUCUAGCGUGAUCUUUUAUUUGCUUUGUUGGUGCCAUCUACAAUACCAUGAGGUACCUCACAUUAUCAGAUGAGGGGCUUUUCAUCC